CUUUCUUUGUAUGGCUUAGAAGUGAUGUUGUCUUUAUAUUGUGUUAUUUGUUCUUAACUUUACAUUAUCAGCUCUGGUGUGCUUACCUUUUUCACCAACGUGUCUUCUACCCUACUUACCUCAUAAGUGAAUCUAAUACAGAGGUUAUUUUGGAUAUAAUCAUUAUCUUAACAGGCAAGAUAGUGGGCUGUGCUAUUUCAAACCCUAAAUUUGGCUUUCAGGAUUAUGAAGUAUUAAUUCUUCCACUGAUAUCUCAAAAGGUGAUCUGGACAAAGGAACAGGUAUCUCAGCAGCAGCCUGCUCUUCUUUUGCAAUCUCUUCAGGAUCUCUGUAGAAGUAGAGAUCAGGC
RNAcentral lists this long non-coding RNA (349 nucleotides) under Homo sapiens (human). RNAcentral's name for it is "HSALNT0408091". The record is from RNAcentral. Lineage: Eukaryota; Metazoa; Chordata; Mammalia; Primates; Hominidae.